GUGGGGAAUAUUGGGCAAUGGGGGCAACCCUGACCCAGCGACGCCGCGUGAGGGAAGAAGGCCUUAGGGUCGUAAACCUCUGUUGUGUGGGAAGAAGGAAGUGACGGUACCACACGAGGAAGUCCCGGCUAACUACGUGCCAGCAGCCGCGGUAAUACGUAGGGGACGAGCGUUGUCCGGAAUUACUGGGCGUAAAGGGCGCGUAGGCGGUCAUUUAAGUCAGCUGUGAAAUGGUCCGGCUCAACCGGAUCAUGCGGUUGAAACUGGAUGACUGGAGUGCUGGAGAGGCAAGUGGAAUGCCCAGUGUAGCGGUGAAAUGCGUAGAUAUUGGGAAGAACACCGGUGGCGAAGGCGACUUGCUGGCCAGCAACUGACGCUGAGGCGCGAAAGCCAGGGGAGCAAACGGGAUUAGAUACCCCGGUAGUCC
Molecule: ribosomal RNA, 427 nt
Filed under: uncultured bacterium
Lineage: Bacteria
Description: partial 16S ribosomal RNA
Rfam family: Bacterial small subunit ribosomal RNA
Source: RNAcentral